This 10432-nucleotide long non-coding RNA is filed under the name Brassica napus (rape). RNAcentral describes it as "long non-coding RNA (BNAP_LNC002207)". Lineage: Eukaryota; Viridiplantae; Streptophyta; Magnoliopsida; Brassicales; Brassicaceae. The record is from RNAcentral.
UGCAUCGACCUCUACGGAGACACUAUCAUGCAGCUGAACCGGACGCUAGAGUGCAUGUCCCCAAAAGCUAGUUGCACCGACUUCGAUGCUCAGACGUGGCUGAGCACCGCACUUACAAACACCGAGACCUGCCGACACGGCACAACAGAUUUCAACGUUUCCGAUUUCAUCACACCUAUCGUUUCAAAGACCGAAAUAUCCAAUCUCAUGAGCAACUGCUUAGCCGUCAACGGAGCCCUCUUGACCGCCGCAAACAAUGGUAAUCGGAAGGAUUUUCCGACGUGGGUUUCCGGGAAAGAGAGAAGACUUCUACAAUCGCAAUCUGAGCGUGCUGUCCGAGCUAACCUCGUGGUGGCCAAAGACGGGUCGGGACACGUCACGACGGUGCAAGCGGCUAUUGACGUGGCUGGACGGAGAAAGGUGACGUCAGGGAGGUUUAUUAUAUACGUGAAGAGAGGAGUAUAUGAAGAAAACAUAAACGUACGUCGCAAUAACGAUAAUAUAAUGUUGGUCGGAGAUGGAAUGAGAUCUACCAUUAUCACCGGUUAUCGUAGUGUCAAAGAUGGUUACACCACCUACAAUUCCGCCACUGCUGGUAAAUAAUUAAUUAAAGCUCCUUUAUUUUAUUCAUUUCUUAUUUAUUAGCAUGGACUGGAUCUAACAAAUUUUAGUAGUUUUAACACAACAAGUUUCUGUUAUGUCAGUAAUAAAAAUUCGAAAUUUUCCGUACGUAUUGGAUUUUCAAGUUAAAUCAUAAAUUGGGAUCUGUAUCAAUUAUUAGAACUAGCUAAAAAAAUUAGAAAUAAAAACGUAACGGUCGUGCUUUAUUUCCCGCAAAAUAAGUAAGCGUUACCAUUUGAAAAUUUGUUUCAUUUUUUCACUCGCUAUGUAACAUCUGGCUCCAUUAAUGCGUGUGAUCCAGGUAUCGAGGGACUUCACUUCAUAGCCAAAGGCCUAACAUUCCGGAACACGGCGGGUCCAGCCAAGGGCCAAGCCGUGGCACUCCGAUCAUCCUCAGACCUAUCAAUCUUCUACCAAUGCUCAAUUGAAGGAUACCAAGACACAUUAUUGGUCCACUCCCAACGCCAGUUUUACCGUGACUGCUACAUUUACGGAACCGUAGAUUUCAUAUUUGGAAACGCGGCCGCAGUCUUCCAAAACUGUCUCAUCCUCCCACGCCGCCCGCUCGAGGGUCAAGCCAAUGUAAUAACCGCGCAAGCUCGUGCAUAUCCAUUUCAGAACACUGGAAUUUCCAUUCAUAACUCAACUAUCCUACCGGCUCCUGAUCUAAUACCGGUGAUCGGUAACGUUAAGACGUACAUGGGGAGGCCGUGGAUGAAGUACUCACGCACCGUGGUUCUCCAGACGUAUUUGGAUAGUGUUGUUUGUCCGUUGGGUUGGUCGCCGUGGCUUAAAGGUUCGGAUUUCGGUUUAGACACAUUGUUCUACGCGGAAUAUAAUAAUAUAGGACCAGCUUCGUCCACGAGCGGGCGUGUUCGUUGGAAAGGGUUUCAUGUGUUGAAUAGAGCUUCCGAUGCAUCUGCUUUCACUGUUGGAAGCUUCAUCGCCGGUACUGCGUGGCUCCCAGGCACCGGCAUACCCUUCAAUUCUGGACUCUAAGGCUAUCUAUGGUUUGUUUUCUUUGUUAUCGUGCUUAAAGCUACAAUGAUAUAAAAAUUCUACGACUCUUGAAUAUGAAAUAAAGUUAUUACUAUGGAUGAACAAACGUGGAAAAUGUAGAAGACGCAUAAAAAUAUUUAGUUACAAUGCUUGAGACAUAAACCAACCCCCACGAACUAAAGUUGUUUUGAACCAUGAGAAGCAAAAGAUCUGAGAACAGAACCAAUUAAUGAAAUCAAAGAAGAAGAAAUAAGAGAGUCCUACAGUUAUACGACCUAACCAAUGGGAGAUCAGAAAGAGACUCAGCAAACCGAGGCGAGCAGAACCAUCAAGAAGCUGAAAAUUAGAAUCAAAUUUCCAUUUAGCAAUGAUGAUGCAGAGCUAUGGACUUGUUGCCUGCACAAAGUCACAAAAGAAAAGUUUCUCAAAAUUUCCACACAUCAUCAUCAAAAGGUGAUAUGAGAGGAAGGAGAGAUCAGCGAAGAUUGUAAUGCUCACUUCUGCAAGCUCUUGAGAGCACCACAGUAAAGAACAUUUUUGGGCUGACCCAUCUCUGUUUUACCGUUCUCCUCGGGGUUUAUGAUUCGGAUGUAUGUUUCUUGACCAAGAUACCAUCUGUCAAGAUUCUCAACUCUGAGAUUCCAAACUCCGGCAUUAUCAAGUGACAUCAAUACAGCAGUCCAUGCCCCUGGGUAAACCUGAAAGCAAACAUCAAACACACAAACAAAGUAAACUACCAAAUGGUAUGUACAAGAGAUUGUAAAUGUGAAUCAACCUCUACUGUGCUUCGUGCUAUUGCAUCCCAGUUGUUAUAAGAACCUUUUCUGUCUUCAGUCCAGUUACCAAAGUCCAUUCUACAACACAUGUCAGAGAAAUUAAAAAAAAAACUGAUAGAACAAUGUGAAAAUUAUAAGAAAGGCAUGAUGAUUAUCUUACGCAACGACGUAGAAAGAGUAUCCAUCAAUAUGGAAGCUCUGGACUUUGGUGUCAUUGUUCUGGAAUAUAAUUUGAACAAAUCUCCUGUACGUUGCGUUGAUGAUAGAGCUUCCCACACGGGGAGGUCUACUGUCAACAGGUCUUGAUGGGAAAUCCAUCUUAUAAACUCCUUUGACCCUAUGCUUAUCCGCAAGCCUCAUGGGCGUGCUUGGAUUCAGAAACGAAACACCGUUAAGCGUAGCACGAAGCGACCCAUUGAUUAUUGUCGGAGGCAUGCUUCUAAAAAUGUAUGUUCCUGUGAUAUUUAUCUGCCCGUAGUGAUAUGAUCCUUGUGGAUUCGGACGAGCUCCACUCGAAGAUGUGUUCUGCCUGCACACAUGACACAAAAAAAAAAAAAAGAAUCAGGAUUUACACUUAUACACACUUGCUUGAGAGAGUUUUGUUAGACAUUACUUGAUGGCUCUCUGUUGGUUCAUUACAGUCCAAGGGUGAGAAACAUCAGUCAACGGAACCGGAAGAGGACCAGAAGCAGGACCUUUGGAAUUCGAAUAAUGGAGAAUGCCAACACCUGUGACUCUUUGCCACACUUCUUCAUCCACAAAUCUAGCACUAGCCACAAUGUAGUAGUCACUCGAGGCGUUUUGGUCCAUUGUCACCAAGAAAGAGUAAGACUGCCCCACAUGGAUAUCAAAAUCAGUGAAGUUUGUCUGUGAGGUGUAGCGACCCUCGGUUUCGACUAAGAGCAGCUUAUGACUCUGAAUCCUAAAGUUCAAGCUUGUCGAGACACCAACAUUGUGAACACGGAUCCUAUACGUUUUCCCUGGAUCAACAUUGACAGUCUCGUGUUGAAUCCCAUCAGGUACACUGCUGUUGUACUUGUAAGGACCUUUCCCAUUGAUGAGGACUCCAUCAGGCAUCGCUAGCUCUUUACCAGAGUCAAGUACACUCCUUAACACCUAAUAAAGCAACAAACUUUCCACCAUUAGAACUUAAAUAACACCAAUAAUAGAACCAAGCAAGUAGUACACUUACGGUGUGGUUCUGAGUAUACCAAUCACCAAUCAUGAAGGUGAAUUCUCCAUCAGGGGUAGCGAACGGGAGAGGAAUACGAUACUGGUUAUCGAUUACGAUGGGACCAAAACCACCAGAAGCUCUCUGGAAGUUGAGGGAAGGGAAGUAGAAGAAACUACCGAUCUGAUCUUUGACUUGGAAGCUGUAAGUGAAGUUCCAUUGCGGAGGGAUGGGACAGUUCGUGCCGAGAACACCGUCUUGCCACGAGUUACGCCGCAUCUCUAUCCCAUUCCUUUUAUUCUAACAAAGUCAGUAAAAAUCACAAACAGAGAAACAAAAAAAUAAAAAAGAUGAGUCACCAAGUGAGUAGAAGAGGCUCAUCUAAACGAUUGAACACGUUAACUUCGACGUUAUAGUUUGUUGUGGCGGUUACAACGGGGCCAGGGAAUAUUCCGUUAACUGCUAUAACCUGCAACAAAAACAGAAUCGAUCAAAACGGAAUCACCAGAUCCCUACGGAGCAAGUAAACGAUACACGAGCUUGAGAAUCACUACGUGUUUAAUAAAAAAGAGGAUCGGAUAAGAUCGAGACGAAAAACCUGCUGAGGAACGCCGAGAGGAGAAGCAGUGACGUAAGAGAGCUCGUAAACGUAGGAGAUGGCAGGAUCCUCGGCGAGAGAGAGUCCGAAGAGAAGAGCGAAAGCGAAGAUAGAAAACCGCGGCGGCGGCAUUGUAUGUAUUGCUUCGAGUCAAAGAUCGAAGAAGGAGAAGAUGAAGAGAGUGUAAAGCGUGAGUGAGUGAGUGAGUGAGUGAGUGAGUGAGUGUGUGGAGGUUUUCGAAACUUCUUCUCUGACAAAGAGGUGGAGAAUAUGGAAGGUUUUUAAUCUCUAUUUAUUUAUUUAUUUGUUUGUUGAAUUUACUGGUUUACCGAGUUAACCGGUUCUUUUUUUUUUUUUUUAAAUUGUAGUUACUCGGAUGCUGAUUUAUCGUUUUUCAAAAUUUAAAUUGAUCCGUGACUAUUAUUUAUGUAAGUGCUUGUGAAUUUGGAGUACUUACCUACCAUGUUGUGUAAAUUGCUGUCAUUUGAGUAAGUUUCCAUUUCUAUAACCAUUAAUUCGUUUUUUUUGGUAUAUUACGUGUUCGAAUGAAUAUUUGAUGAUGAAUGUUUGUAUGUAGCACUAUGUCUUUUACUACAUAUCUGGAUAUUUUAUAAAUCUUGGUUUUGGAAUUGUAAGAGGAUCCAGCUUAUUAGAACUCACAACGCAUAUAUAGCAUUUCCCCGUUUGAUGUUUUUCAAAAGCUCCGUUUUUGUUGUUGAAGCUAACAAUUUACAGCCAAAACAUGAUAAAUAAAACAUUUUAGUUGAUAUUUUAAAAUGUAAUAACUACCUCCUCGAUUUAAAUGUUUUUAAAUGAUAUACAAUUUAAAAAUCUAUUUUUAAAAUACUUUUUGUAUUUUGAUUUAUUUUAUUAGAUAAUAAUUAGAAAUUGUAAAUGACGUCAAAAAUUAGUUUAUAAAAUUACAAUUAGUUUGAAGGUACUAAAAAUAGUUGGCUAUGAUAAAAAAAAUCCUUUAAAAUAUUUAUUCGUAAAUUCUGUAAUUUUAAAGAAUAAAGAAAAAUUCAUCUUUCUUUUUAUUCGUUUUGGUAGCUAUUCAAUGCCUAAAUCUUUUUAAAAUAUCCAUGAAACCUUCACUACUAGCAGCAAUCAGUAUUAUUAUUAAAAUUUAAAUUAAAAAUAUUUUCUCCAACUACACAAGUUCUGUGUUAGAGCAAUUCCAAUGGAUACACAAUGAGAGAAAAUAAAGAUACUUCCUUGAAGGUGCGGUGUUCCUACUGUUCCUAUCCCAUAAGUAAGUUAAUUUUUCUCUCUUUAUGGCUGAUUAAUUAGUCGAUGGCUUGAUCUCGAGUUCCAUUAUUUAAUUUAUCACAUACUCCAUAUCAUUGUGUAGGUGAAUAAUAUGGUUGAGCAAAUAUAAUGUAAGGUAAACAGAAAACAUCUACGUAUGCCGAUCUUAGCAUGCCCUAGUUUAUUGUAUUUUUUUGGUACAAAUGUUAAAAGCAUGCCCUAGAUUAUGUUGUUUUGCUUUCUUAACUUGUAUCUUAAUUAUGUUUAAGAACUAAGACAUCUGUGUUGUGGACGGAGCAAAUCAUCAAGUUCCAAUGCACUCCAAUUAUACUUCGCAAGUCGCAACGGAUGCAUGCUAACAUUAAGCUUUGUGACUCUCUUCGUCGUAUAAUAACAUUGUUUUCUAAAUUAUGAGAAGUACGUACGGUGGGUUUGGAAAAGGUUCUAAGCACCGGAUUCGAAACCUACCAAAUUUCUAUUUACUUGUUUGUAUUGUUAGUCGACAUCGGUAUAUAAUCCCCAUUACAAACAAAUGGGCCUGUCUGGCACCGGUAGAUAGGGAAUAGCCGGUAUAUAAUUCCCAUUAGACUUUGGUCUGUUGGAUACCCUGGAUUAUCAAAAGAAAAAAAAAUUACGAACGAAACAAACUCAUAGUUACAAAUCUUUUUUUGAACGGCACUCAUAGUUACCACUCUAAAUAACACAUUAUGUUAUAUUUAAAUGAAAUAUGAAUUACAUGACAGGAAAAGUGAAUUAUUUUCAGAAUUCAAGUCUCUUUAUUUAUUUUCCAAUCGCAAUCGUCAAGUUUAUAUCCAAUGAAGAUAUAAACUACGUACAUAUAUACGUGUAAAGUAUAUAGAUGUGCAUGUGUUUGUAGAUAUGAAAGUUAAUAAAAUAAGUGUAUAUAUUAUGUAUAUAUCUGUAGUACAGGUUCUGUACUACUUAAACAUGAUAUUUUUUAGAAAUCAAUUUUGUCUGUAUAUUUUAUUUACUAAAAUAUUAUUGUAAAAUAAAGUAAAAAGUAUUUAUCAUUUUCCAUAGAUGAAACAAAUAAAUUUAUAUGUAUUAAUCACUAAUCAUUCCUAACUACUGUAUUUUAUUUUUCCAUAAUAUUUAUAUAUAAAAACUGGCGAUUAAAUAAUUUAUAUAGUCAUAAAGUCUAUAUUUAUAUAUGCAUGAUGUUAUUAGGUAAUUUAAAAUUUUAAAGCAGAUAUAAAUAAUUUAAAACUAAAAAGCUUAAAAUACGAUUUAUUUGGCAUUUAAAUAUUAAAAUAUUUAGCUGUUUAAAAUAACACUUUUUGUUUAUUGUGUAUAUUUAAAACAUGACAUUAUGUGUGACUUUGUGUAUCAGCUUGAAUUUAUGGGUGUAAUUGGUAUUGGAUGUAGGUGCUGUCCACAACUUCAUUUAUUUCUUCAUCACUAAAUUCACAGCAAACAAGAUUUAAUAAAAAAAUUUCAAAAUUACAGUUCUUUGAAUAACAUACAACUGUACAAGUGUUCUGUAGAGCUAAAAAUCCAGAGCAAUUUUUUGGAGUUUUCCAUAAAAUUCUACAGCAAUAAAAUCUAAAAGUAAGAGUAAAAAGUCUACAGAUUUUUUUCUACAUCCAAAAUUUUAAAGCUACAUCCAUUAUCAAUUGGACCUUAUGUAUUAGUUUAUCUGUUUUGUGAACUUAUGUUUAUGAUCACAAGUUUAGAAAAAAAAACUUUUGUGAUCACACAUACUAGCUUUAAUUUGAAGUACUUAAAUUUCUGUACAAUUUUUUUUUAAAAAAAAAAUCUGUUGAUUGCAAAUAAUUAAAUAUGAUUUUAUACCUGACCUUAGCAUAAAAUUGUAAUUAUGUUUUUAUUGAUAGUAACUUUUAUUUAAUUGUUUAGCAAUUGACAUUUUUCAAUCAGAGUUUUUCACAGUCGACUAUAAGUAAAGAACUAAAGACUAUUCUGCGAGCGAUAAAUUUACGGAAUAGAGAUGCUUGGAGAACCAAACCUAUUUUCUCGCUGUAUGAUGGGAAACAAUAUUUGAUGCAUGAAACUCUUCAAAUGGAGUAUAAUUUUUUUUUUCUUAUGUGUGAUGCAGGUAGAAACUAUGAAACUCUUUAAAUAUUUGUUUCUAUGCCGAGUGCCGACAAAACUAUGACUUUAUUAUUUAAAGUUUUUGGGCAAAAUUGUUUUGUCGGCACUCGGCAUAGUUAAUGGACAUAGUUUUCUCCUUAGUUAAUUAAUGGAAAAACAAAAAGGUGGCCCAAUGUAAUUGGAGAGUGUGAUGGGGAUAGUUGGAAGAGUUCUGAUGUUUACUGUUGGAUACGCGUGUCCUUCUGCUACACACACUAUUUAAUUGGACGGUAUUCAAAUUUAAUUCGCACAGUACGAACCUAAUAGUUGAUAAAUUAUUGAUUUAUCGUGUGCGAAACCAAAAUAAAUAUUUUAUUGUAAUUUACAAUUUUUCCAUUUUCUUUAUUUAUAGUUAUACUAUAUCGCUAGAUAAUCUUCUUUUUUAAUUUUGUCAAUGUUAAGACAAAAAAUAUUAACAAACAAAUAUACUAUCACUACAAAUCUUGUAAUAUCGCUCAAACCUAAUAUUAUAUAUCUAAAAACAACCAAGGUGUUGUAAACUAAUAAAUUCUCAAAAGUAUAAUAUUAGAUAUUUACGUAAUCUCUGACAGACUAACGUAUAUGUACAUAAAAAUUGUGAUUAUGAAACAAAUUCUUCUGGUUAGUAGACAAGCCUAGAAGGAAUGAAAUGCAUUAAAUGCAAAUCCAACUAAUAACAGUCUUAACAUAUUCUAGUUAGUAGUUAGUCAUCCUUUUCCCAUUCUAAAAUCCCUAUAUAAAACCCAUCAUCAACUCACACUUUUCUCACAUCCAACAUCAUAACACAAGCUUAGAAUCACAAAAGCAACUAAGUCUCCUUAUUUUCUUAUCACAAGACAAAAGAGAAAAGCAAAAGACAAUGGCUUCGGCUCUGAGUUUUUUCACAUGCCUUGUUUUGACUGUGUGCAUAGUUGCAUCAGUAGAUGCAGCAAUCUCAUGUGGCACAGUGACAAGUAACUUGGUUCCAUGUGCCGGCUAUCUAAUGAAAGGCGGGCCGGUGCCAGCUUCAUGCUGCGCCGGAGUUUCAAAAUUGAACAGUAUGGCUAAAACCACACCGGACCGCCAACAAGCAUGUAAAUGCCUAAAGACCGCUGCAAAGAGCGUCAAUCCAAGUCUAGCCUCUAGCCUUCCUGGAAAGUGCGGUGUUAGCAUUCCCUAUCCUAUCUCCAUGAGCACUAACUGCAACACGUAAGCUUUUUUUUUCUUUAAGUGAAAUUUCACAUUCUUUUGUUUUAUUUUUACGUGAUUAAUUACGCGAUAUAGAUAAAGACCAUGAUUUACUUCUUUUAUAUUGUUGCAGCGUCAAGUGAAGUGGGAACUCAUAUAUCAUGGAUGAAGAGUAUGGUCUAUAGCAUAAAUAAAAAAGGGUCUAUCUACGCUGACCUCAGCAUGCCCUAGUUUGUCUUGUUUUUAUUUUGUUGUUGAAAAGUUUGUCAUGUUACUUUGUAAUCUUUUGCUUUAUAUAUAUUGGGUCUCAAUUAUGUUUAAGAUAUGAUAAUAUUAUCUUAUUAAUCAUCUUCUCUUCGUAUAUUUUCUUCAAUAUUAAUCAUAUGUAGUGAAUGAGAGUACUAUAUAUAUAUAUAUCAAAAUCUAUAUAUAUUCAUUAAUUAAGAUCUUAGAUUUUGGUGUCUUUAUAAAAUUUAGAUUGGUACCAAAUUUAAAACCAAACAAUGUUUAGAAAUACCAAGAAGAAAUGCUGAAUGGUUUCUCCCAUCCAAUUAUAAACUUUAAGAUGACAAGGGCUUAGAUAUCACCGUCACAAUCAUAUUCAUAUAACGACAACUUAAUUACAACAUUGUUUUUGUUGAAUCUAAAUACAAUAUUACUAACAAUCGAGAUUGAAUUAUGAAUCAAAAGAAAUUUUCAUACACGACGAUUUCAACUACGCAAAUCUUUUCUUUCUUUUUUACAAUUACACGACGAUUACUUAUCUUAGUCUGAAAUGGCUUUCGAGUCUUCUUGUUGCAUUGAUAUCUCGCAAUCAUGUGUGUCCAACUUUUCUAAAAAAAUAAACAAGAUUCUGCACGGUUUACAUAUAAGUCGAUCCAUCUUGUGCUUCAUCUAGUACCCUAUUGCUUGCUCGAAUCUCUCUUUUUGUAACUAUCUGAUUCUAGCGGAUUGCUAUUGGUCAUUGACAUAAACGAUAUGAUAAAAGCUAUGUUUAAGAAAAUAGACGAUUCAAAUAAGACAAAAUGAUAGACAUGAAGUCGAGAUAUAAUCUCUUUACUUAACUUUAAAUAUUUGCUCCGUAAUGAGACGAGACUGUAUGAAUAUCGAGUCCCAAGAUAUAACCAUGGGAAACGAUCACGCUUCACUCGUGAACGCCCUAUCGAACUAUAAACUCUACGAAACACUUUCAGACUUAUGACUUACGCUAAGGAAUUUUUUAUUGUUGGUUUUGAUGUAAAAAGUAGUGAAAUGAAUGAAGAGAAUCAGGUUUAUUUUAAAUAGAAGAACAAGAGUCACUUCCCGCAACAGUUGCUGCACGUGGGCGGAAAUUUCGCGGAGAUUACGGGAAGUUGAAUUUCAAAAAUUAUUCCCCAAGAUUCACUCUUAUCUCGUUUAAAUAUUCCGAGAGAAUAAAAUGAAUGAUAUUUUUAUUUUCUAGAUAAGUUACUUGUCGGGCAAAAACAUUGAGUUUUACUUGGUCCCAGAAGCCUUGACUCAAGACCCAUGUCCACGCCCACGCCCAACCAGCCGGUGGCAACAUGCACAUAGAAAGCCUACAUCUCUCUUCAAGCCGUUUACAAUCUUAUGUCAUAGACACAUAUAUAAAUAACUCUUCUCUUAUCUACUUCCCCGACGUGGGACAUUUCUCAUAUACUUAAAUGACUUGAUUUUGGGCUUAAUAAUAUUUAGCCCAAGUCAUUUUUCAUUACAUUUUAAAUAAAAGCCAUUGGGCCUUUUAUUUGAUCCAACACCUGCAACUCC